CAGAGUAAUUCUCAUAGGCCAUAUUUAUUAGCAAUGAUAAAAUAAAACUGUAAAACAAACAUCAAGUUUCCUUCACUCAGGGUUAACGUCUAUAUUAAACUAAUAACUAAAAUGGGAGUGGGAAAAUUUUCUACUUUACAGUUGGUUAAGUGAAAAACAUUCCUAUUAAAUAAAGGUUUGUCAUAAUCUGGGAAAUAGCUGUUACAGGUUUAUUCAUCAUUAGCAAUUUAUGAGAAUUUAUACUUUCCAAACCCUAGCAAAUGAAGAUAUUAAACAUUCUUUUCUACACCUUGGUGUAUCUAACAAAGUAGGACCUAUGAAAAAAA
This 326-nucleotide long non-coding RNA is filed under the name Bos taurus (domestic cattle). Its description in RNAcentral is "long non-coding RNA NONBTAT023332". The record is from RNAcentral. Lineage: Eukaryota; Metazoa; Chordata; Mammalia; Artiodactyla; Bovidae.